UGCGGGAUAGCUCACUGGUAGAGCGCCGGGCUCAUAACCCGAGGGUAGGUGGUUCGAUUCCUCCUCCCGCAACCA
This 75-nucleotide transfer RNA is filed under the name Ralstonia solanacearum CMR15. RNAcentral describes it as "tRNA-Met (CAT) (tRNA-Met-CAT-2-1)". It matches the Rfam family "tRNA". From Rfam's summary of the family: Transfer RNA (tRNA) molecules are approximately 80 nucleotides in length. Their secondary structure includes four short double-helical elements and three loops (D, anti-codon, and T loops). The record is from RNAcentral. Lineage: Bacteria; Pseudomonadati; Pseudomonadota; Betaproteobacteria; Burkholderiales; Burkholderiaceae.